This 253-nucleotide ribosomal RNA is filed under the name uncultured bacterium. RNAcentral describes it as "partial 16S ribosomal RNA". It matches the Rfam family "Bacterial small subunit ribosomal RNA", at positions 524 to 776 of the family's 1533-position model. The record is from RNAcentral.
UACGGAGGGUGCUAGCGUUGUUCGGAAUCACUGGGCGUAAAGGGCGUGUAGGCGGUCUGUUAAGUCUGAUGUGAAAUCCCCUCGCUCAACGAGGGAACUGCGUCGGAUACUGGCAGACUCGAGUACCGGAGAGGAAGGUGGAAUUCCCGGUGUAGCGGUGAAAUGCGUAGAUAUCGGGAGGAGCACCGGUGGCGAAGGCGGCCUUCUGGACGGAUACUGACGCUGAGACGCGAAAGCGUGGGGAGCAAACAGG